Rosa rugosa (rugosa rose) is the source of this 725-nucleotide long non-coding RNA. RefSeq lists it as uncharacterized. Lineage: Eukaryota; Viridiplantae; Streptophyta; Magnoliopsida; Rosales; Rosaceae. The record is from RefSeq and is a predicted model, not a curated record. The transcript is spliced from 3 exons.
CCUCUCUCCUCUCUCCCUCGAGUCGACCCUCUAUUCCUUUCUCUUCCUCUCAGAACCCAGCUCUAAUUUCUUGAAUCCAGCCCCAAUUGUAUAAAAUCUUUGGCCAUUCCAAUCCCAAAAACACGAUCUACGCAAGAUGCAAACCUCACCAACAUGAAUUUUAACCCCAAUAUCAUUUGAUUUUCGAAAUCCCCAAAUCCUUCCACCCAACCCUAGCUGCUUGUUUGAACUUUGAAGUGGUUGCUCAGAUGCUUGUACGGUGUUGAAGUGGUGGUUCAGAGCAGAAAAAAAUAGGUCAAGGAUGGAGCCGAUGGACAUCGUUGGAAAGUCAAAAGAAGAUGCCUCGCUUCCGAAAGCAACUACUGCGCUGCAUUUGGGAGGUGCAAACUCUUCUACAACAACUGCUACUUGAAGAUUUGGAUGCUGCAAACUAUUGGUGCUGAAGAUAUAGCGGCUUGUUUUUUGUCAAGUGAUUGAAGUCAUCAAAUCAGUGAAUCAGAAGCAGAUUUUUGUUUGUUUGUAGUUCCUAUUAUGAAGUUAUGUAAUAUUUAAGUACACGUUUAGACUUUGAAAUCAGUCACGCACAUGAUUUCUGAACUUGUGUUCUUGUAAUGUGGAACUGGAGAAAAGCUAAACUAGAGAAACAUCAAGUCUAGAACUCUAUAAGAAGGUGAGAAAUAGGCUUGAUGAAGAUAUAUUAUCGGUGCUGAGUUGAGUAAUUGGUA